AAGGACCCGCAGGGUGUUGGGUGGAAAGAGCGGGUAUAGACAAGCUGGAAGGUUCUUAUGCAUGUAUGCACAGGACCGGGUGUGAGGCGCCGAGACAGGGCUUGGUAUGCAACCUUCUUAAAAGCUGUGGGAGAGAUCCUUCUACUGCCUGGUUGGAUUGCUGUGUCAGAGGACAGCGCCGUGGUACUGAGUCUCAUCGACACUGUUGACACCGUCAUGGGCCACGUAUCCUCCAACCUGCACAGCAGCAUGCCCCAGGUCACCGUGGAGGGCUCCUCUGCCAUGGCAGAGUUUUCCGUGGCCAAAAUCCUAACCAAGACCAUGAAUUCCUCCCAUUACCGCUUCCCGGCCCACGGGCAGAGCUUCAUCCAGAUCCCCCACGAGGCCUUCCACAGGCACGCCUGGAGCACCGUCGUGGGUCUGCUGUACCACAGCAUGCACUACUACCUGAACAACAUCUGGCCUGCCCACACCAAGAUCGCGGAGGCCAUGCAUCACCAGGACUACCUGCUGUUCGCCACCAGCCACCUGAUUUCCCUGGAGGUGU
RNAcentral lists this small RNA (547 nucleotides) under Pongo abelii (Sumatran orangutan). RNAcentral's name for it is "processed transcript". The record is from RNAcentral. Lineage: Eukaryota; Metazoa; Chordata; Mammalia; Primates; Hominidae.